AUUGAACGCUGGCGGCAGGCCUAACACAUGCAAGUCGAACGGCAGCACAGAAGAGCUUGCUCUUUGGGUGGCGAGUGGCGGACGGGUGAGUAAUGUCUGGGAAACUGCCCGAUGGAGGGGGAUAACUACUGGAAACGGUAGCUAGUACCGCAUAACGUCGCAAGACCAAAGUGGGGGACCUUCGGGCCUCACACCAUCGGAUGUGCCCAGAUGGGAUUAGCUAGUAGGUGGGGUAAUGGCUCACCUAGGCGACGAUCCCUAGCUGGUCUGAGAGGAUGACCAGCCACACUGGAACUGAGACACGGUCCAGACUCCUACGGGAGGCAGCAGUGGGGAAUAUUGCACAAUGGGCGCAAGCCUGAUGCAGCCAUGCCGCGUGUAUGAAGAAGGCCUUCGGGUUGUAAAGUACUUUCAGCGGGGAGGAAGGCGGUGAGAUUAAUAACCUUGCCGAUUGACGUUACCCGCAGAAGAAGCACCGGCUAACUCCGUGCCAGCCGCCGCAGUAA
Molecule: ribosomal RNA, 506 nt
Filed under: uncultured bacterium
Lineage: Bacteria
Description: partial 16S ribosomal RNA
Rfam family: Bacterial small subunit ribosomal RNA
Source: RNAcentral